RNAcentral lists this ribosomal RNA (331 nucleotides) under uncultured eukaryote. Its description in RNAcentral is "partial 18S ribosomal RNA". It matches the Rfam family "Eukaryotic small subunit ribosomal RNA", at positions 1470 to 1796 of the family's 1831-position model. The record is from RNAcentral.
CCCUUAGAUGUUCUGGGCCGCACGCGCGCUACACUGUUCGACGCAGCGAGUCUUAACCUUGACCGAAAGGUUUGGGUAAUCUUCAGCAAAGUCGAACGUGAUGGGGAUCGAUCAUUGCAAUUAUUGAUCGUGAACGAGGAAUUCCUAGUAAGUGCAAGUCAUCAGCUUGCGCUGAUUACGUCCCUGCCCUUUGUACACACCGCCCUUCGCUACUACCGAUUGAAUGGUUUAGUGAGAUCUCUGGAUUGACGCUGGCUAGGGGGCGACCCUUGGCCAGGCUGUCGAGAAACUGCUCAAACUUGAUCAUUUAGAGGAAGUAAAAGUCGUAACA